Molecule: ribosomal RNA, 546 nt
Filed under: uncultured bacterium
Lineage: Bacteria
Description: bacterial SSU rRNA
Rfam family: Bacterial small subunit ribosomal RNA
Source: RNAcentral
UGGGGAAUAUUGCGCAAUGGGGGAACCCUGACGCAGCCAUGCCGCGUGAAUGAAGAAGGCCUUCGGGUUGUAAAGUUCUUUCGGUAUUGAGGAAGGUUGAUGUGUUAAUAGCACAUCAAAUUGACGUUAAAUACAGAAGAAGCACCGGCUAACUCCGUGCCAGCAGCCGCGGUAAUACGGAGGGUGCGAGCGUUAAUCGGAAUAACUGGGCGUAAAGGGCACGCAGGCGGUUAUUUAAGUGAGGUGUGAAAGCCCCGGGCUUAACCUGGGAAUUGCAUUUCAGACUGGGUAACUAGAGUACUUUAGGGAGGGGUAGAAUUCCACGUGUAGCGGUGAAAUGCGUAGAGAUGUGGAGGAAUACCGAAGGCGAAGGCAGCCCCUUGGGAAUGUACUGACGCUCAUGUGCGAAAGCGUGGGGAGCAAACAGGAUUAGAUACCCUGGUAGUCCACGCUGUAAACGCUGUCGAUUUGGGGGUUGGGGUUUAACUCUGGCGCCCGUAGCUAACGUGAUAAAUCGACCGCCUGGGGAGUACGGCCGCAAGGUUA